This 510-nucleotide ribosomal RNA is filed under the name uncultured bacterium. RNAcentral's name for it is "partial 16S ribosomal RNA". It matches the Rfam family "Bacterial small subunit ribosomal RNA", at positions 28 to 507 of the family's 1533-position model. The record is from RNAcentral.
GACGAACGCUGGCGGCGUGCUUAACACAUGCAAGUCGAACGAAGAGCGAUGGAAGCUUGCUUCUAUCAAUCUUAGUGGCGAACGGGUGAGUAACGCGUAAUCAACCUGCCCUUCAGAGGGGGACAACAGUUGGAAACGACUGCUAAUACCGCAUACGAUCUAAUCUCGGCAUCGAGGAUAGAUGGAAGGUGGCCUCUACAUGUAAGCUAUCACUGAAGGAGGGGAUUGCGUCUGAUUAGCUAGUUGGAGGGGUAACGGCCCACCAAGGCGAUGAUCAGUAGCCGGUCUGAGAGGAUGAACGGCCACAUUGGGACUGAGACACGGCCCAGACUCCUACGGGAGGCAGCAGUGGGGAAUCUUCCGCAAUGGACGAAAGUCUGACGGAGCAACGCCGCGUGAGCGAUGACGGCCUUCGGGUUGUAAAGCUCUGUUAAUCGGGACGAAAGGCCUUCUUGCGAAUAGUGAGAAGGAUUGACGGUACCGGAAUAGAAAGCCACGGCUAACUACGUG